GCUGGGGCUCCAAGCCCAUUGUUUCACAUGUUGUCGAAGGGGCUAACCCCGACACAGGAGAACUGCCAACUGCGGUGGAAACUUUUCAAAAGUUUCACCAUAAAGGCAACGAUUGGCGCAACGAGUUCGCGCAACAAGCUUACGAGCAAAUGGUUGAAAUAGCGGCAACUCAACCAGCGCCCACUGCAGAUGAGCCCGAAGAGCCUGCUGUCGAUCCUACACAGUACCCCCGAGACUUACCUGUUAUGACGCAAGUACUCGGGGAACGAUCUCGGCAUCUUAGAGGCUUUGGCC
Molecule: long non-coding RNA, 294 nt
Organism: Cannabis sativa
Lineage: Eukaryota; Viridiplantae; Streptophyta; Magnoliopsida; Rosales; Cannabaceae
Exons: 3
Source: RefSeq, a predicted model, not a curated record